GGUUGUGGCUCAGCGGCAGAGGGCUCGCCUAGUACUCUGCCUAGCAUGUGCGAGGCCCUGGGUUCGAUCCUCAGCGCCA
This 79-nucleotide transfer RNA is filed under the name Marmota monax (woodchuck). RNAcentral's name for it is "tRNA.Thr". The record is from RNAcentral. Lineage: Eukaryota; Metazoa; Chordata; Mammalia; Rodentia; Sciuridae.